Molecule: ribosomal RNA, 492 nt
Filed under: uncultured bacterium
Lineage: Bacteria
Description: partial 16S ribosomal RNA
Rfam family: Bacterial small subunit ribosomal RNA
Source: RNAcentral
AGUGAACGCUGGCGGUAGGCCUAACACAUGCAAGUCGAACGGCAGCACAGUAAGAGCUUGCUCUUACGGGUGGCGAGUGGCGGACGGGUGAGGAAUACAUCGGAAUCUACUUUUUCGUGGGGGAUAACGUCGGGAAACUUCCGCUAAUACCGCAUACGACCUACGGGUGGAAGCAGGGGAUCUUCGGACCUUGCGCGAUUGAAUGAGCCGAUGUCGGCUUAGCUAGUUGGCGGGGUAAAGGCCCACCACGGCGACGAUCCGUAGCUGGUCUGAGAGGAAGAUCCGCCACACUGUAACAGAGGCACGUCCCACACUCCUACGGGGAGCAGCAGCGGGGAAUAUUGGACAAUGCGGGCAAGCCUGAUCCAGCCAUACCGCGUGGGUGAAGAAGGCCUUCGGGUUCUAAAGCCCUUUUGUUGUGAAAGAAAAGCAGCAGGUUAAUACCCCGCUGUUCUGACGGUACCCAAAGAAUAAGCACCGGCUAACUUCGUG